AAAUUGAAGAGUUUGAUCAUGGCUCAGAUUGAACGCUGGCGGCAGGCCUAACACAUGCAAGUCGAACGGUAACAGGAAGAAGCUUGCUUCUUUGCUGACGAGUGGCGGACGGGUGAGUAAUGUCUGGGAAACUGCCUGAUGGAGGGGGAUAACUACUGGAAACGGUAGCUAAUACCGCAUAACGUCGCAAGACCAAAGAGGGGGACCUUCGGGCCUCUUGCC
Molecule: ribosomal RNA, 222 nt
Filed under: Escherichia coli
Lineage: Bacteria; Pseudomonadati; Pseudomonadota; Gammaproteobacteria; Enterobacterales; Enterobacteriaceae
Description: partial 16S ribosomal RNA
Rfam family: Bacterial small subunit ribosomal RNA
Source: RNAcentral